RNAcentral lists this small nuclear RNA (295 nucleotides) under Calidris pygmaea (Spoon-billed sandpiper). Its description in RNAcentral is "7SK RNA (ENSCPGG00000009326.1)". It matches the Rfam family "7SK RNA". Rfam says of the family: 7SK was discovered as an abundant small nuclear RNA in the mid-70s but a possible function has only recently been suggested. Lineage: Eukaryota; Metazoa; Chordata; Aves; Charadriiformes; Scolopacidae. The record is from Rfam by way of RNAcentral.
GGAUGUGAGGGUGAUCUGGCUGCGACACCUGUCACCCCAUUGAUGGCCAGGGUUGGUUCUGCUGGUCUGGCAGGUGUCCCCUUCCUCCCUCACCCCUCCUGAAGCUGCACGCUGGGUCAAAGAGGACAAUCUUCCCCGAUAGACACGUACCGUUCAUCGGUCAAGGGAGCGGGGCACCUGAGCUCCCUGGCUAGAACCUCCAAACGAGCUCAAUUACUUUACAACACUCCAGUGGAAGUGUAAUAAGGGAAGUUACAGUAACUAUAAACAAGCAUGAAAAAUAUUAUUCUGAUUU